Molecule: long non-coding RNA, 499 nt
Organism: Aedes aegypti (yellow fever mosquito)
Lineage: Eukaryota; Metazoa; Arthropoda; Insecta; Diptera; Culicidae
Exons: 2
Source: RefSeq, a predicted model, not a curated record
AUCUCAAGUCUUGUGCUCUUGAAAAUUUGAGUCGCCAGUAGAGCGUUCCCGCUUUUGAAGCUCCACACCGUUGCAAUGUACCUUGCGGCUGAUCUGGUACAUCGGUUACAUGUCGUGUAAGUUGGUGAAUGCAGGAGUUGAGGAUUUUUCCACCCGGCAGCAGGAUGAAUUGGCUAUCUCCAGUACCAUUCGAAGUAUGCUCACGGCACCGAAGAAACGACACUCCAUUCCAAGCGGAGGCUGGGCAAAUCUGGCGGAAAAAAACCUGGAUUCUCUUCGCAACAUCAAUAGGGGUCAAUGGGACCACCGGGAACGAACUGUUAAUGGUGAUUGCCUCAGCGAUCCUCUUUCCGGAUUGCAAGGAUCAUCAUCACGAUAACGGCUCUCGUACCAUCGCAUACUUAUCACCUCGGUAGGACUCUCCUGUUACGGCCAGAAAUUGCAAAUUUUCUUGGGGGGUUUGUUCCACUUGAAUUCGAAACAUUAUUGUUUUGCCACA